Dermacentor silvarum is the source of this 5861-nucleotide RNA transcript. RefSeq lists it as uncharacterized. The record is from RefSeq and is a predicted model, not a curated record. The transcript is spliced from 9 exons. NCBI's taxonomy places the organism in Eukaryota, Metazoa, Arthropoda, Arachnida, Ixodida, Ixodidae.
AAGCGGCAGCGGCGGCCGCGGCGGUAGCAAAACAAAUGUGAAAAAGGGAUAACUACAGGUUCUCCGAUUAAUUUUGUGCGACCUACUAGUCUGUUUCGGUGCUCGUGCGGCUGCCUCGGAGCUGACUGUAUCUUAGGUUUCUUCCGACCGAGCGCGCUAAGCGCCCAGCUAUUUCUGGGAGCAAUGAGUAAGCGAAAUGCGCCUUGCAAUGUCAUCGGGUGCAAAGCCAGUGACAGAAAAUCCGUUAAGUCUCGGUAUUUGCUGCCUCAAGAUGAGUCCUUGCGAUCUGCUUGGCUACAGCGCAUUGGCCUUCCUUCCACGGAGACGCGGAAGAACGUACGCGUUUGUGGUAGGCACUUCGCACGUGAUGCCUUCCGUUACGAUCCGGAACUUCUACAGGGCACGGACGCCAGUUGGACACGUUUGCAUUUGAAGGUAAAUGCACUGCCGACGUUGUUCCUUCCCGACAGACAGCACAACGAUCCGCUGCAUGGAGAACCUCAUCGCCAGAUCCCCAGUGCAGCUGCAUCUUGCGAUCCACGGGUGGAAAAUUCACAGGAAGUGAGUUCGAGGUGCGAAAUAACUUUAGCACAAGUAUAACUGAUUACUUGAUCCACAGGUUGGGGCCAGUGAAUUACAUCCAACCGGAGCUGGUCUUCAAGUUUCCUGUCAAAUUUGCAGAUGCAGCUCCUCUCCUGUGCUACGCACUGUAGCAAGUCAGUGUGCUUUUGCUGCCAGGACUGUUGCUACCGAGACCUCACACAAGGGGGUGUUAAAAAAAGAUGCUGCCACGCAGGUGAAUCUCAACAUCUCUCCUUGUAGAGAAGCAAGUAUGCAGACCGAAACUUGUGACGAACUCACGGAUCCAGCUAAAUCAAGUCCCAGUGAUCCAGCAUGCAUUCCAUCACCAUCAUAGGUAUGGACCAGCACAAGGUUCAACACCAGUGCCAGGUGCAGUAGAAGAGAUAGACACUACGGAACUUGCAACUACUGUUGCUGAGAUCGAUAGAAGCUACCAGCCAUCCUUUGAUGAGAGCUUUGCAAGGUAUAUCAUUGUAUAAUAUGUCAUCUUGCAGUGUGAAUGGCACAAAGAAUGUGAACAACCCUACAUUGCCACAUUGAGCUCGAACUAGCAAUCUCCAAACUAACAAGUUGAAGAGCACAGGUUCUUUUUUUUUUUUGCAAUUUAUAGUACACUGUUCAGUGCCUGCCAAAAGCCAGUGAUCUUAAACAUGGUAUUUCACACUGGCAUGCAAACUGGAAGUUGGAAUACCAAUCUGUAAAAGAUUAUUAUAACAGAAAAAGUGUGCCACAAGACUUUCUUUUUAGCCAGUAGUUCCUUUUAUGUUAGCAUCUAAAGUUUCCUGCACCAGGUUAGAGCAUUGCAAGCAGGCAACAGUGCAUAGCCAACUGUGCCUGAAAAUUGUAAGAUGAAUGUAAGUCACAAAGACAGCUGCAUGUCCUUCUCGAUGUAGGCAUUUCCCAAGCACCAGAGAUGCCUUUGCAUCAGUUGAGUACCACCUGCAACACAUGACUAGUCAGCAGUAACAUAGUAACAUGUGCCUUGGGAUUGGGACAUGUUGAGCAUGCAACACUGCUUUUAGAAAUGCACCACACUGAAAAAAAUACAUAGGAGGGGGGCAGACAAAGGGGAUCAUGGGAGUACUUCUUGUUGGGCUAGUUGGUGAUGCAAAGCUAUUAGAAAAGGAGCGCAAAGUAACAACGCACAGAGGAGACAGGUCAGCUUCCUCUCUGUGUUGUUAAUUUUAACUCUUCUAAUAGACAAAAAGGAGGCUGGAGUUGCUAUCAAAACGUGAUGUGGAUCCUCAGCUCCGACAUGAAAGGCAGGGGAGCAGUGUCGCUUACACUCGUUGAUGCAAUGGGAGAGUCUCCACUGCGGUAAAAGUAGCUCGCCUCGUCCGAGGAUACUUAUUAUUUAUUUAUUUAUUAAUUGCUACCUAUGUCUCCUCUAUUAUGAAAACUUUUUGGAAAAUUAUCUGCUCAAAAACUUCCAAUGUAUAGUACCAACUAAAAUUUUGGAAGGGCCUGGUAAGGGUAAUAUGCACAAAAUCUGCUAACUCGAGUCGCAUGGUUUGCUCUUCAAGAGAAACAGUAAAGUAUUUAUUCUAGUUAGUGCAUGUUGCACUUUAACAUGCCUUAUGCAUUUCUUUGAUAACUUUGGCAUCUUCAUCAUUUACAGCGAUAUGGAACCCACAGCACUUCCUAAGGAUGAGCGCAAGUUUCUGGUUUUCCAGAGCAGCUUACAGGAACUCCUGUCACAUUGCCGUCUGUGCCAUUCACCAUGUGUGAAAAGGUACUCUGUAUUGGGCACCAUGGUCACUGUGGAAAGCAGGUGCCAGCAAAAGCACAUAAAAUGCUGGCAAAGUCAACCAACUGUGGGAGCCAAACCAGCUGGAAAUGUGCUGCUAGCAGGAGCUAUCUUGUUCUCGGGAUGUUCUAUUGCUCCAGUGCUUCGGUGCCUCAAGCUUAUCAACAUGGCAGCCAUUACUGAGAGGUGCUUCUACACCUAUCAGAAGUGCUGCCUGCGGUCAAUGCGGCAAGUUUCAAUUCAACUAAACUUUUUCUUGAUAACAAGAAGGGGGCAGCAGCACAAAAGCUACUGCACUGACAGCAUUUUGAAGGAGGCAGCUGCCCCCUUCUUAGGCAGCAAUGGACGGCUUGAAAUCAAACCAUGCUUAGGACAGGCAUCUAGUAACCAACAAAGUUGGAUAGAACAGUAAUGCCACAGCGCAUCUAGCCAAUAUGGGAUCCCUUGUACACAUUACCCAAACUUUUUAACAACCAGUUUAAUGUUCAGUCAGAUGAAGGCAAGAAGAAAACAGGAAGUAUGGAAAUAAAACCCAGGGUUUGACGGAAUGUUGUCUGGUCAGGGAGAGGCAUGAUGAAAAAAUACCAACAUCGACCAAGAGCUAAAAAACACUGAAUGAAAAACUAAAAAUGUUUCGGCUCCCACACAGGAGCCUUGUACAUGUUCUAUUAAAGCAACGCAAGAACAAAAAAAUUGGAGCAAAGGCCAAAACUGUCAAUCACAAGAAUAUAUUGCAAACAAUUUGCAAACCAUAUUAUACUAUUCGCUUAAUGCACUUUAGCAAGGCUUCUAACUGUGGAACAGGCUUUGUCAUUGCAUGAACAAUUGGUAGUGGAAUGACUAUGCCACAUUAGAAGUACACUGAACGAAGUGCUAUCACAGAAUAAAAAGAGAGCAUAACAUUGCAAAUAGUUACCUCUUAUUGUUGGUGUAAUGGCAAAUUAUGUUGGUACACGGCUUUCAAGGAGCAGCAGACUUGCUUGACAAGCAAAAUGGCAGACACCGAGGUCGACUUGGCUGGCUAUGGCUGCUGCGAUUCACCAGGGCAUAGCGCCAAGUACUGCACAUACAAGUCUACUUUGCACACAGGCUAACCAAAUCUUGCACUGUGAGCAAGUACAAGUAAGACAGGCAACUGCAGUGCCAAGCAGCACUUCAAUGGAGAAGGAGGGGUUGGUGAGGAGCCUGGACUACUUGGAAAAACAGGGCAUCACAGUGCGCUCCCUGACCACAGAUCGCCACCCCGCCAUCAGGGCCUUCUGCAGGCAGAAAAGACCUGACAUGACACACCAUUUUGAUGUGUGGCACAUUGCAAAGGCAAUGGAUACACAGCAUAAUCAACCAUCUCUACUGGGUUGCUGCUAUGGGACAAGGUGAUGGCGACCUAAUAGUGAGCAUGUGGAAGUCCCUGGUGAACCACAUCUGUGACCAGCAUCAUGGACAUGAAAGGCCUUUCACAGAAUGUCUGCAUGGCCCCCUUGAAGACAGAGCAUGGAUGACACGAGGUUCACCCGCCUUCCAAAAGCUGAGACGAAUUUUGGAAAGCCCUCGCUUGCCGAGUGAUCUGCGCCACCUUUCACCUGGAGUACAGACGUACUCAUUAGAGUCAUUCAACAGCUUGCCGAUUUGCUUUGCCCCUAAAUCUGUGGCUUAUUCACCAGAUGGCAUGAAGGCAAGGUAAACUGCCUAAAUGAAAUGACACAAAAAAGCAUACCAGCUUCCAAAUUUGUUCCCAGGGCUCAACCAGGUGCUCUUCACUAUAACGAGAACGCUACAAGACAUCAGGCUUCCACCAGGAAAGGAGCGCUACGAUGGAAAGUAAAGCUUAGCAAAGCGAUGAAGGGGCACUUCACCGUCGCCCCUUGCAAGACACUGCCAAGCUAUGGCUACGUUGACAAGCUCGUCCGAGCAGUAAUGAUGAGGUGCGAGGCCAGCUCAUACUGGAGCAGCCUUGCCAGCAGCUCAUCUGGGCCACGCCUGCACAUGACAGACACUUAUGAAAAGCCAGCCAAGGAGGAACUCAUUGCUACACGACAGUCAAGAUUUUCUGCUACAGCUUUGUCAUUUCUAAGGAAAUCACUGCCUUUUUUUAUUUUGUCAGAACAGCAACUGCCUACCUUGGGAGUAUCUUUAUGUAUACAUAGCUUGCUCGCCCCCUCACUUGAUGAGGGGAGGAGGAGGAGGAUAAGCUGGUGCACCAUGUAAGUGGAAUUGAGAAUGUUGAAGAAAAGAGGAGGAAGGAGAAAAAGAAAAGAGGGCCUGAGGAUGGUGUUUAGUUGCCAGACUGAGACAACAUAGGGAAACUGAUGCUGGUUUAGAAGCAAGGCUGACAGAAAAUGUAAGCGGGAUACAAACAUGCAAGCAGUUGCUGGCAACAACCGCACGCUCAUCUUGCUGCAAAAGAGGGAAGAAGAAGUUGUGCUGUUCAAAUGUGUGGAAAGAAAAACAACAAAAAUGCAGAAAGAAAAUCGAAAUUGUUAGAAGGAACUAAGUUAUAAAAAGACAUGUUUGGUCAGGAGUAAAAACACAAAUUCUCAUCUUGAAAACUGAGGAAAGAGGGAAACAACUUUUACAACUGUUUAUUCCAAAAGAUCUUUUUUUGAAAUCUGCAGCCCUAAAAAAGGAAGUGAUUUCAGAGUCGUCUAUGUGCCAUUGCAUCUUGACCAUGCAGUUUCUAUUCCCUCCUGAAAAACAAUUUUUACUUCACCCAUCACCUAACACCAGCGCGGAAUGGGACCACCUUCCCUCCUCCAUCACCUGCACUGAAGAUGCAUCAUUGUUUUAGACUGCUGUUAGUGAAUACAUCUUGAGAUAUUUCACUUGAUGUAUUGUUCCACAAGUAUUCUUAUUCAUUGCGUGUGCGUGAUUUUUAUGCUAAUUUAUUGCACCCACACCCCCUGGGCCCUGACUACUGAAGUAAAUAAAUCAAACUGCACUUUAUGAGUCGUCCCUUUGCAAGCCCAAUUCAUAGUGCGGGGUACUGGAAGCCAACAUAAGAUGCAGAUGGGAACUCUUCCCUUAUUCUUGCCACAACACAAGUAGGCAGCACCACUCGGUUGUGUCGCCCAAGCCUCUUCCAUAUCCACCGGUUGAACAUUUGAUAGGCCACGAAGCUGUAUUUUCUGUAAGCAAAAUGUAGGCAUGAGAAAGCCACAUCAACAGCAUGCUUUGCAGGUGUUACUUGUGGAUUUCCCCAGUGACAUUUUCCGUUACUUCCCAGUACAUCGCUUCUAAUACUGCUGGGUUCAAGCAAAGGCUUGAAAAGUGUGCAUGUCGAGUUAUAGUUGUCGCCUUUUGCAGCACAACUCGGUUGUGUCGCCCAAGCCUCUUCCAUAUCCAACGGGUGAACAUUUGAUAGACCACGAAGCUGUAUUUUCUGUAAGCAAAAAGUAGGCAUGAGAAAGCCACAUCAAAAGCAUGCUUUGCAGGUGUUACUUGUGGAUUUCCCCCGUGACAUUUUCCGUCACUUCCCAGUACAUGGCUUCUAAUACUGCUGGGUUCAAGCAAAGGCUUGAAAAGUGUCGAGUUAUAC